AUGGAACAAUCAAAAAUUAUAGAUACGACGGAGACAUAUCAGAUGCGAGUGGGAAAUGGUUCCAAAGUUGAUGUGAUCGUCGUCGACACGCUACCUCUACAUCUACCUUCGGGAUUAAUUUUAGACCUAAAUAAUUGUUAUUUGGUGCCAGCUUUGAGCAUGAACAUUAUAUCUGGAUCUUGUUUAAUGCAAGAUGGUUAUUCAUUUAAAUCUAAGAAUAAUGGUUGUUAUAUUUAUAUGAGUAAUAUCAUUUAUGGUCAUGCACCCUUAAAGAGUGGUCUAUUUUUGAUGAAUCUCGAUAGUAGUGAUACACAUAUUCAUAAUGUUGAAGCCAAAAGAUGUAGAGUUGAUAAUGAUAGUGCAACUUAUUUGUGGCACUACCGUUUGGGUCAUAUUGGUAUAAAGCGCAUGAAGAAACUCCAUUCUGAUGGACUUUUGGAAUCACUUGAUUAUGAAUCAGUUGGUACUUGCGAACCAUGCCUCAUGGGCAAGAUGACUAAAACGCCAUUCUCCAGAACUAUGGAUCGAGCAACUGAUUUGUUGGAGAUCAUACAUACUGAUGUAUGUGGUCCAAUGAAUGUUGAGGCUCGUGGCGGGUAUCGUUAUUUUCUCACCUUCACAGAUGAUUUAAGCAGAUAUGUGUAUAUCUACUUAAUGAAACAUAAGUCUGAAACAUUUGAAACGUUCAAAGAAUUUCAGAGUGAAGUUGAGAAUCAUCGUAACAAGAAAAUAAAGUUUCUAUGUUCUGAUCGUGGAUGA
Molecule: ribosomal RNA, 759 nt
Filed under: Triticum aestivum (bread wheat)
Lineage: Eukaryota; Viridiplantae; Streptophyta; Magnoliopsida; Poales; Poaceae
Description: partial small subunit ribosomal RNA
Source: RNAcentral